Molecule: ribosomal RNA, 497 nt
Filed under: uncultured bacterium
Lineage: Bacteria
Description: partial 16S ribosomal RNA
Rfam family: Bacterial small subunit ribosomal RNA
Source: RNAcentral
GAUGAACGCUGGCGGCGUGCCUAAUACAUGCAAGUCGAGCGAACAGACGAGGAGCUUGCUCCUCUGACGUUAGCGGCGGACGGGGGAGUAACACGUGGAUAACCUACCUAUAAGACUGGGAUAACUUCGGGAAACCGGAGCUAAUACCGGAUAAUAUAUUGAACCGCAUGGUUCAAUAGUGAAAGACGGUUUUGCUGUCACUUAUAGAUGGAUCCGCGCCGCAUGAGCUAGUUGGUAAGGUAACGGCUUACCAAGGCAACGAUGCGUAGCCGACCUGAGAGGGUGAUCGGCCACACUGGAACUGAGACACGGUCCAGACUCCUACGGGAGGCAGCAGUAGGGAAUCUUCCGCAAUGCGCGAAAGCCUGACGUAGCACCGACGCGUGAGUGAUGAAGGUCUUCGGAUCGUAAAACUCUGUUAUUAGGGAAGAACAAAUGUGUAAGUAACUAUGCACGUCUUGACGGUACCUAAUCAGAAAGCCACGGCUAACUACGUG